AGAAGGAUCCUCCGGGGCAGUGCAGGGUCUCUAGGGAAGUGCGGCCAACUAGGCAGCAGCUGCACUCCCAGAAGCCAUUCCCUGGGCCCCGCUUUGGACCCCUUCUAAAAAUGUAGCCAUCUUGGGGGACCAUUGGUUGAGCUUCUGUCCUGUGUUCCCUGCCAUUUCCAGGGCUCGGGCCAUCAAGUACCGUCAGGAGAACCAGGAGGCGGUGGGAGGCUUCUUUUCACAAAUAGGAGAGCUCUACGUGGUACACCACUUAUGGGCCUACAAAGAUCUGCAGUCUCGGGAGGAGACUCGAAAUGCGGCCUGGAGAAAGAGGGGCUGGGAUGAAAAUGUGUACUAUACAG
Molecule: long non-coding RNA, 350 nt
Filed under: Rattus norvegicus (Norway rat)
Lineage: Eukaryota; Metazoa; Chordata; Mammalia; Rodentia; Muridae
Description: long non-coding RNA NONRATT009536
Source: RNAcentral